RNAcentral lists this unclassified non-coding RNA (156 nucleotides) under Borreliella afzelii. RNAcentral's name for it is "partial 5S-23S ribosomal RNA intergenic spacer". Lineage: Bacteria; Pseudomonadati; Spirochaetota; Spirochaetia; Spirochaetales; Borreliaceae. The record is from RNAcentral.
UUUGUUUAUACAACAUAGAAUAAUAUAUAUCUUUGUUUAAUCCAUGUCAAUAUAUAUAUUAUUUUUUAUAUUAUUUGAAUAAAACAUUCAAAUAAUAUAAACAUUUAAAAAAUAAAUUCAAGAUUUAAAGUAUAAAAUAAAAACCCUGGCAAUAAC